Molecule: ribosomal RNA, 485 nt
Filed under: Streptococcus sanguinis
Lineage: Bacteria; Bacillati; Bacillota; Bacilli; Lactobacillales; Streptococcaceae
Description: bacterial SSU rRNA
Rfam family: Bacterial small subunit ribosomal RNA
Source: RNAcentral
GACGAACGCUGGCGGCGUGCCUAAUACAUGCAAGUAGAACGCUGAAGAGAGGAGCUUGCUCUUCUUGGAUGAGUUGCGAACGGGUGAGUAACGCGUAGGUAACCUGCCUGGUAGCGGGGGAUAACUAUUGGAAACGAUAGCUAAUACCGCAUGAUAUUGAAUAUCGCAUGAUAAUUAAUUGAAAGAUGCAAUUGCAUCACUACCAGAUGGACCUGCGUUGUAUUAGCUAGUUGGUGAGGUAACGGCUCACCAAGGCGACGAUACAUAGCCGACCUGAGAGGGUGAUCGGCCACACUGGGACUGAGACACGGCCCAGACUCCUACGGGAGGCAGCAGUAGGGAAUCUUCGGCAAUGGGGGGAACCCUGACCGAGCAACGCCGCGUGAGUGAAGAAGGUUUUCGGAUCGUAAAGCUCUGUUGUAAGAGAAGAACGGGUGUGAGAGUGGAAAGUUUCACACUGUGACGGUAUCUACCAGAAAGGACGG